RNAcentral lists this non-coding RNA (99 nucleotides) under Cyclophora tenuis. Lineage: Eukaryota; Bacillariophyta; Fragilariophyceae; Cyclophorales; Cyclophoraceae. The record is from RNAcentral.
UAGGCCUCUUAAUAUAUAUGUCUCCCCUCUUCCACUCAUUUUUAUUUUUGUUUUUGUUCAUUUCUUUGUUGUUCUUUUGCUUUGUUUUUUUUUCUUAAA